RNAcentral lists this transfer RNA (74 nucleotides) under Clostridiales bacterium. Its description in RNAcentral is "tRNA-Gln". It matches the Rfam family "tRNA". From Rfam's summary of the family: Transfer RNA (tRNA) molecules are approximately 80 nucleotides in length. Their secondary structure includes four short double-helical elements and three loops (D, anti-codon, and T loops). Further hydrogen bonds mediate the characteristic L-shaped molecular structure. tRNAs have two regions of fundamental functional importance: the anti-codon, which is responsible for specific mRNA codon recognition, and the 3' end, to which the tRNAs corresponding amino acid is attached (by aminoacyl-tRNA synthetases). tRNAs cope with the degeneracy of the genetic code in two manners: having more than one tRNA (with a specific anti-codon) for a particular amino acid; and 'wobble' base-pairing, i.e. permitting non-standard base-pairing at the 3rd anti-codon position. Lineage: Bacteria; Bacillati; Bacillota; Clostridia; Eubacteriales. The record is from RNAcentral.
UGGGAUAUUGUGUAAUGGCAGCACUACAGACUUUGACUCUGUCAGAGAAAGUUCGAAUCUUUCUAUCCCAGCCA